CGAAUGGCUCAUUAAAUCAGUUAUCGUUUAUUUGAUAGUACCUUACUACUUGGAUAACCGUGGUAAUUCUAGAGCUAAUACAUGCUGAAAACCCCGACUUCGGGAGGGGUGUAUUUAUUAGAUAAAAAACCAAUGCCCUUCGGGGCUUCUUGGUGAUUCAUAAUAACUUCUCAGAUCGCAUGGCCUUGCGCCGGCGACGGUUCAUUCAAAUUUCUGCCCUAUCAACUUUCGAUGGUAAGGUAUUGGCUUACCAUGGUUUCAACGGGUAACGGGGAAUUAGGGUUCGAUUCCGGAGAGGGAGCCUGAGAAACGGCUACCACAUCCAAGGAAGGCAGCAGGCGCGCAAAUUACCCAAUCCCGACACGGGGAGGUAGUGACAAUAAAUACUGAUACAGGGCUCUUUUGGGUCUUGUAAUUGGAAUGAGUACAAUUUAAACCUCUUAACGAGGAACAAUUGGAGGGCAAGUCUGGUGCCAGCAGCCGCGGUAAUUCCAGCUCCAAUAGCGUAUAUUAAAGUUGUUGCAGUUAAAAAGCUCGUAGUUGAACCUUUGGCCUGGCUGGCAGGUCCGCCUCACCGCGUGUACUUGUCCGGCCGGGCCUUUUCUUCUGGAGAACCGCAUGCCCUUCACUGGGUGUGUUGGGGACCAGGACUUUUACUUUGAAAAAAUUAGAGUGUUCAAAGCAGGCCUUUGCUCGAAUACGUUAGCAUGGAAUAAUAGAAUAGGACGUGCGGUCCUAUUUUGUUGGUUUCUAGGACCGCCGUAAUGAUUAAUAGGGACAGUCGGGGGCAUCAGUAUUCAAUUGUCAGAGGUGAAAUUCUUGGAUUUAUUGAAGACUAACUACUGCGAAAGCAUUUGCCAAGGAUGUUUUCAUUAAUCAGUGAACGAAAGUUAGGGAUCGAAGACGAUCAGAUACCGUCGUAGUCUUAACCAUAAACUAUGCCGACUAGGGAUCGGGCGGUGUUUCUUAUUUGACUCGCUCGGCACCUUACGAGAAA
RNAcentral lists this ribosomal RNA (997 nucleotides) under Corylicola italica. RNAcentral's name for it is "SSU rRNA". It matches the Rfam family "Eukaryotic small subunit ribosomal RNA", at positions 90 to 1097 of the family's 1831-position model. Lineage: Eukaryota; Fungi; Ascomycota; Dothideomycetes; Pleosporales; Bambusicolaceae. The record is from RNAcentral.